CCCUUAGAUGUUCUGGGCCGCACGCGCGCUACACUGUUCGACGCAGCGAGUCUUAACCUUGACCGAAAGGUUUGGGUAAUCUUCAGCAAAGUCGAACGUGAUGGGGAUCGAUCAUUGCAAUUAUUGAUCGUGAACGAGGAAUUCCUAGUAAGUGCAAGUCAUCAGCUUGCGCUGAUUACGUCCCUGCCCUUUGUACACACCGCCCGUCGCUACUACCGAUUGAAUGUGUUGGUGAGGAGCUCGGAUUGGCAGCAGUUGGUGGUUCGCCACCGGCUAUUGCUGAGAAGUCCUCCAAACCGCCCCAUUUAGAGGAAGGAGAAGUCGUAACA
RNAcentral lists this ribosomal RNA (329 nucleotides) under uncultured eukaryote. Its description in RNAcentral is "partial 18S ribosomal RNA". It matches the Rfam family "Eukaryotic small subunit ribosomal RNA", at positions 1470 to 1796 of the family's 1831-position model. The record is from RNAcentral.